AGUCGAGCGAGUCUGCCUUGAAGAUCGGAGUGCUUGCACUCUGUGAAACAAGAUACAGGCUAGCGGCGGACGGGUGAGUAACACGUGGGUAACCUGCCCAAGAGAUCGGGAUAACACCUGGAAACAGAUGCUAAUACCGGAUAACAACAGAUGAUGCCUAUCAACUGUUUAAAAGAUGGUUCUGCUAUCACUCUUGGAUGGACCUGCGGUGCAUUAGCUAGUUGGUAGGGUAACGGCCUACCAAGGCGAUGAUGCAUAGCCGAGUUGAGAGACUGAUCGGCCACAUUGGGACUGAGACACGGCCCAAACUCCUACGGGAGGCAGCAGUAGGGAAUCUUCCACAAUGGACGCAAGUCUGAUGGAGCAACGCCGCGUGAGUGAAGAAGGGUUUCGGCUCGUAAAGCUCUGUUGUUGGUGAAGAAGGACGGGGGUAGUAACUGACCUUUGUUUGACGGUAAUCAAUUAGAAAGUCACGGCUAACUACGUGCCAGCAGCCGCGGUAAUACGUAGGUGGCAAGCGUUGUCCGGAUUUAUUGGGCGUAAAGCGAGUGCAGGCGGUUCGAUAAGUCUGAUGUGAAUGCCUUCGGCUCAACCGGAGAAUUGCAUCAGAAACUGUCGAGCUUGAGUACAGAAGAGGAGAGUGGAACUCCAUGUGUAGCGGUGAAAUGCGUAGAUAUAUGGAAGAACACCGGUGGCGAAGGCGGCUCUCUGGUCUGUUACUGACGCUG
RNAcentral lists this ribosomal RNA (728 nucleotides) under uncultured bacterium. Its description in RNAcentral is "bacterial SSU rRNA". It matches the Rfam family "Bacterial small subunit ribosomal RNA", at positions 60 to 748 of the family's 1533-position model. The record is from RNAcentral.